Molecule: ribosomal RNA, 253 nt
Filed under: uncultured bacterium
Lineage: Bacteria
Description: partial 16S ribosomal RNA
Rfam family: Bacterial small subunit ribosomal RNA
Source: RNAcentral
UACGAAGGGGGCUAGCGUUGUUCGGAAUUAUUGGGCGUAAAGAGCUCGUAGGCGGUUCGUCGCGUCGGCUGUGAAAUCCCGAGGCUCAACCUCGGGUCUGCAGUCGAUACGGGCGGACUGGAGUUCGGCAGGGGAGACUGGAAUUCCUGGUGUAGCGGUGAAAUGCGCAGAUAUCAGGAGGAACACCGGUGGCGAAGGCGGGUCUCUGGGCCGAUACUGACGCUGAGGAGCGAAAGCGUGGGGAGCGAACAGG